RNAcentral lists this ribosomal RNA (843 nucleotides) under Salmonella enterica. RNAcentral describes it as "partial 23S ribosomal RNA". It matches the Rfam family "Bacterial large subunit ribosomal RNA", at positions 659 to 1503 of the family's 2925-position model. The record is from RNAcentral. Lineage: Bacteria; Pseudomonadati; Pseudomonadota; Gammaproteobacteria; Enterobacterales; Enterobacteriaceae.
AGGGGAGCCGGAGGGAAACCGAGUCUUAACCGGGCGUUAAGUUGCAGGGUAUAGACCCGAAACCCGGUGAUCUAGCCAUGGGCAGGUUGAAGGUUGGGUAACACUAACUGGAGGACCGAACCGACUAAUGUUGAAAAAUUAGCGGAUGACCUGUGGCUGGGGGUGAAAGGCCAAUCAAACCGGGAGAUAGCUGGUUCUCCCCGAAAGCUAUUUAGGUAGCGCCUCGUGAAUUCAUCUCCGGGGGUAGAGCACUGUUUCGGCUAGGGGGCCAUCCCGGCUUACCAACCCGAUGCAAACUGCGAAUACCGGAGAAUGUUAUCACGGGAGACACACGGCGGGUGCUAACGUCCGUCGUGAAGAGGGAAACAACCCAGACCGCCAGCUAAGGUCCCAAAGUCAUGGUUAAGUGGGAAACGAUGUGGGAAGGCCCAGACAGCCAGGAUGUUGGCUUAGAAGCAGCCAUCAUUUAAAGAAAGCGUAAUAGCUCACUGGUCGAGUCGGCCUGCGCGGAAGAUGUAACGGGGCUAAACCAUGCACCGAAGCUGCGGCAGCGACGCUGAUGCGUUGUUGGGUAGGGGAGCGUUCUGUAAGCCUGCGAAGGUGGCCUGUGAGGGUUGCUGGAGGUAUCAGAAGUGCGAAUGCUGACAUAAGUAACGAUAAAGCGGGUGAAAAGCCCGCUCGCCGGAAGACCAAGGGUUCCUGUCCAACGUUAAUCGGGGCAGGGUGAGUCGACCCCUAAGGCGAGGCCGAAAGGCGUAGUCGAUGGGAAACGGGUUAAUAUUCCCGUACUUGGUGUUACUGCGAAGGGGGGACGGAGAAGGCUAUGUUGGCCGGGCGACGGUU